UCCUUCUUGUUAUUUUUUCCUGUGCGUCCUUGAAUCAUGCUACCUUCCUCAACCCAAUGAUCCAUUAGUUAAUGAGUUGCAACUUUGCUGUAAACGAGUACAACAAGCAAGGUAAUAAGCUGAAAUUCGAGAAGGUCUAAAUGGUGUUCUGAAACAACAUCCCAAGGGACCAACUACCGCAUCACGCUUUCUGCAUCAGAUGGUUCAACUCUAAAAAUUAUGCAGCCAUUGUAUUGGAUAAUCCAAUACAACAUGUUAGAAAACUGAUGAACUUUGCACCUAUUAAAGCCUAAAUCAUUAAAGUAGUUUAUUUUAUAAAAUCAUUUAUCUUUAGCCUUCAAAUUAGUGUACCAAUAAAAUGUAUGUUUUGUAAUCAGUAAUUGAUUAUUGAUCUAAAUAAUUAUCAAUUUAAAUUACGCAAAACUUCAUGUGGUUUUCUCUCUCCAGAAAGUUUGUGUAUAACUUUGUAAUUUUAGUGUUGGAGUAUUCAACGCAGGAAAAAUUAUAAUAUUUAUAAAAUAAUAUCAAAUUCAUUGGAUAAAUUUAGAGAAAAACAAUCCUACUCAAUUAUAGAAUUUAGUUUGUUAAAUAUUUUUUUGACAAAUCAAGAGUUUAUGUGUGUGAAUCAAUCAAAGAGAAUUCAUAGCCUCAUAUUUCUUACUGAAACAAUUUGUUUUAAUUGAAAACCUACUAUAAGUCAUGUGUAGGGUUAUCGAUGGGUUUUAAUGUAAUAAGUAUUUAAUAAAAAUUUCUUGUUCAGUUUUUUUAGAGUUUUUGAAAGUUACUAUAAUCAUUACAAAAGAUUAAUAAUAUUAUUGUAAAAACAAGAAUAUACAAAUGAAUAAAUAAUAAACAUUUGUAACUUAAUUUUUUAUUUAUAAAUCUCCUUUUAUAUAUUUUUCUUCUUGAAGAUUUUGAAUGUCUGCAGAGUAGAGUCUUAUUUUAUAAAAUCAAGGAUUAACAUCAAAAUCGAUGUUCAAAAACUGUAAAAUAAUCAAUACUCUUAACUCUUAAUAAUAACUCUUCAUUCCCAAUGUUUUUUUAAAAUUAUUAUAAUCGGUUUGUAAAUCUUUAAAUUAGUUUAUUCAUUUAAAGGUUAUCUUUCUUGAUAACAAUAAGAGCGGUUCCUUGAACAUAAAUAAUUAGUACAUAAAACAAUUAUAUGAAAUUUUUUAAUAUCAAUUGAAAGCAACCAAACCCCCUAUACAUAUAAACCUUAUUAUAUUAUCCAUUAUAAUUAUAUGUUUUGUUGUUUAAAUUUAAUGAAAACUCUCGUUGUUAUAACAUUGAGGAAAACAAUAUAAAAUCUCAUCAAAGAAGUUUGUAAAAUUAUUAUCAUAUAGUGCCAUGUUAUUAGUAGUAUUCUUUCUUUUAUACACCAAACUUUACAAAUUUGAUAUAUGUAUUCAUCAUGUUUAAAUAGAAAUAAAUAAAUAUAAUUAAUUAAACUCAAUUAUUUUUAAAAUUUUAAUUUUAGCUUCAUUCCUUUAUAUAAAAGACAAUUCAAUUCUUAGGUUCAUUGAAUAAUCAAUGUAUUUGGUCGGUUUAUAGAUUAGAUACAUGAUUAUUCUGAAUUUAAAAAAUGAUUUAUCUCUUAAAUAAAAGAAAAGUAGUAAAACUUUAUUAUUUACACAGAUUAAAAAUUAAGUUAUACAUUUAAUUUUAAAAAUGGCAUUAAUGUGUCACUUAGAAUUGUAUUUAAGGGAUUCAUGUCAUUCUUAAUAUACAAUGUCACCUCAAGUAUGUGUGUAUUAUUUUUUGAAUAUAAAAAAGUGACAGGAAAUUUGACUAAAUUAUAUUUAAAUAGUGUUUUUGGAUUAGAAAUAAUUUAUUUUACUUUAUUAUACUAAUUAACCUAUAAAUAAGAAUUACAUUUUACAAGACUUAUUGAGUAAUUGACAACUUACCAACUAAAAAAUCUCCAGAACAUAGUUUAUAAAUUUGAAAACUUAAAAUUAUUUUUAAAAAAAACAUUUUUUUUAUUAUUAUAAUUUUAAAAUACCAAAUUUGGUUGAUUGUGAGUUUGUAUAAAUUUUAAAAUUUAUUGAUGUAUUCAAAUUUAAAAAAAACUCAAAGGUAGCUAAUUUUAAACUAUUAUAUUUUUUAUUAAUAAACUAUUGUAAUUCUCAUUUAGAAAAAUUAUUACAUUUUAAAUUAAAUUAUACUCUUAGUUAAAAAAAAAAUAUAAAUGAUAUUUUUAAUUUAAUUAAGGAAGAAAAUUCAAUUAUACGUAAUAUUAGUUAAUUAAAUAUAUUAAUUAUAAAAAUAAAAAAAACUUUGAUUUUUUUUAAGUUGACACGGUACUAGUACAAUAAGAUUAACUUAUUAAAUUAGGGACGAUACAAAUUUCAUAUGGACAAAUUGUAAAAUUGAUAACUAUUAAGUUAUUAUAAUAAUAUUAUCUCAAAUUUCUAAAUUAUAUAUUUCUUUCUUAUGCUAUUUCUAUAUUUAUUAUUUUAUAUAAAGUUACUUAUUUUCUUUUAUAAACACAUAUAGAAAGGAUUAAUAAAAAUAUUGCAUUGAAUGUUGAAACAGUGGGUCAAAAAAUCCAAACAAUAUAAGAAAAAACCUUUAUAUAUAUAUAUAUUAUAUAUAAUAUAUAUAUAUAUAUAUAUAUAUAUAUAUAUAUAUAUAUAUAUUAUUUAUAAUAUAUAAUAAUAAUAUAUAUUUAUAAUAUAUAUAGAUAUAAAUAUUAAUAUAUAUACAUAUAUAUAUAUAUAUUAUAUAUAUAUAUAAUAUUAUAUUUAAAUAUAUAUUAUAUAGAUAUAUAUAUAUAUAUAAAUAUAUAUAUAUCUAUAUAUAUUUAUACUAUAUAUAAUAUCUAAUAUAUUAUACUAUAUAUUAUAUAUAUAAUAUUUAUUUAAUAUAAUAAUAAAUAAAAAAAUAAUAUAUAUUUAUAUGUUUAUAUAGUUUUUAAUAUUAAAAAGAAAUUAAUUAUAUAUAGAAUUAAUUAAUAGAUAACAACCUUACUUGAUCAGACUAACUCACUACCAGCCAAUUUGAAAAACUUAAAAAGUCAUAGUUACAAUCACAAUGAGAACUCAGUCUUUUUUUCUGAUUGUCCUUUUGUUAUUUUUCCUGUGCGUCUUGAAUCAUGCUACCUUCCCAACCCAAUGAUCCAUUAGUUAAUGAGUUGGCAACUUGCUGUAAACGAGUAACAAGCAACAGGUAAUAAGCUGAAAUUCGAGAAGGUCGUAUGGUGUAUCUGAAACAACAUCCCAAGGGACAACCACCGCAUCACCUUUCUGCAUCAGAUGGUUCAACCUCUAAAAAUUAUGCAGCCAUUGUAUUGGAUAAUCCAAUACAACAUUUAGAAAACUGAUGAACUUUCACCUAUUAAAGCCUAAAUCAUUAAAGUAGUUUAUUUUAUAAAAUCAUUUAUCUUUAGCCUUCAUUAGUGUACCAAUAAAAUGUAUGUUUUGUAUAUCAGUAAUUGAUUAUUGAUCUAAAAA
This 3452-nucleotide long non-coding RNA is filed under the name Lathyrus oleraceus (garden pea). Its description in RNAcentral is "Pisum sativum (pea) long non-coding RNA (PSAT_LNC003712)". The record is from RNAcentral. Lineage: Eukaryota; Viridiplantae; Streptophyta; Magnoliopsida; Fabales; Fabaceae.